RNAcentral lists this ribosomal RNA (1566 nucleotides) under Tupaia gracilis (slender tree shrew). RNAcentral describes it as "16S ribosomal RNA". It matches the Rfam family "Bacterial large subunit ribosomal RNA", at positions 396 to 2836 of the family's 2925-position model. Lineage: Eukaryota; Metazoa; Chordata; Mammalia; Scandentia; Tupaiidae. The record is from RNAcentral.
ACUGACCCUAGCCCAAGCACAUAUACACCCAACAACUACAAACACCUAAACUAAAGCAUUUAAUUUCAAAGAAGUAUAGGAGAUAGAAACUAAACUAAGGCGCUAUAGAGAAAGUACCGUAAGGGAAAGAUGAAAGAUGAAUCAACAGUAAAAAAUAGCAAAGAUUAACCCUUGUACCUUUUGCAUAAUGAACUAGCCAGAACAAUUUUAGCAAAGAGACCUGAAGUUAAAUAUCCCGAAACCAGACGAGCUACUUAUGAACAGCUAACAGAGCAAAUUCAUCUGUGUUGCAAAAUAGUGAAGUGAUUUAUAAGUAGAGGUGAUAAGCCAACCGAGCCUGGUGAUAGCUGGUUGUCCAGUACAGAAUCUUAGUUCAACUUUAAGCCCUGCCCGAAGAACCAAUAAUCCCUAUGCAGACUUAAAUGUUAAUCUAAGGGGGUACAGCUCCUUAGAACUAGGUAAAACCUUAUUUAGAGAGUAAGUAUAUAUCGACCCAUAGUUGGCUUUAAAGCAGCCAUCAAUUGAGAAAGCGUUCAAGCUCAACAGUAAAUAAUCACCCUAAUUACAUGUAUAAACAUCAACUCCUAAACCCAAACUGGACCAAUCUACAACCAUGUAGAUGAGUUACUGCUAGUAUGAGUAACAAGAAGUAAUUCUCCCUGCACAAGCCUAUAUCAGACCGGAUGCCCACUGAUAGUUAACAGUCCAAUAAGACUUAAGCCAAACCCAAGACACUUAUUCAAUUAACUGUUGACCCAACACAGGAGUGCAAAGCCUAAGGGAAAGAUUUAAAGGAGUAAAAGGAACUCGGCAAACACUAACCCCGCCUGUUUACCAAAAACAUCACCUCUAGCAUGAAAAGUAUUAGAGGCACUGCCUGCCCAGUGACAUAAGUUAAACGGCCGCGGUAUCCUGACCGUGCAAAGGUAGCAUAAUCAUUUGUUCCUUAAAUAGGGACUUGUAUGAAUGGCCACACGAGGGUUUAACUGUCUCUUACUCCCAAUCCGUGAAAUUGACCUUCCAGUGAAGAGGCUGGAAUACAUUAAUAAGACGAGAAGACCCUAUGGAGCUUUAAUUAACUAACUCACAUAUGACUAAACAAACCUAAACCAGGGAUAAAAAACAUAUUCUGAGCUAGCAAUUUCGGUUGGGGUGACCUCGGAGAAUAAAAAAUCCUCCGAAAGAACAAGCCUAGACACUACAAGUCAAAGCAACUAACUAUACAAUUGAUCCAACAAGUUGAUCAAUGGAACCAGUUACCCUAGGGAUAACAGCGCAAUCCUAUUCUAGAGUCCAUAUCGACAAUAGGGUUUACGACCUCGAUGUUGGAUCAGGACAUCCCAAUGGUGCAACCGCUAUUAAUGGUUCGUUUGUUCAACGAUUAAAGUCCUACGUGAUCUGAGUUCAGACCGGAGUAAUCCAGGUCGGUUUCUAUCUAUUAGAAACCCCUCCCAGUACGAAAGGACAAGAGGGGUAAGGCCAAUACCUCAAGCACGCCUUGAGCUUAAUAGAUGAACUCAUCUUAAUCUAGUAAGUAAUCACCAACCCUGCCCAAGAGCAGGGCUU